GUUAAAAAGCUCGUAGUCGAACUUCGGUCCCUGUCGGUCGGUCCGCCUUCUUGGUGUGUACUUACUCGACGGGGACUUACCUCCUGGUGAGCUGCGAUGUCCUUUACUGGGUGUCGUAGGGAACCAGGACGUUUACUUUGAAAAAAUUAGAGUGUUCAAAGCAGGCCUACGCCCGAAUACAUUAGCAUGGAAUAAUAGAAUAGGACGCGCGUUCCCAUUUUGUUGGUUUCUGAGAUCGCCGUAAUGAUUAAUAGGGAUAGUUGGGGGCAUUCGUAUUCCGUCGUCAGAGGUGAAAUUCUUGGAUUGCCGGAAGACGAACUAUUGCGAAAGCAUUUGCCAAGGAUGUUUUCAUUGAUCAAGAACGAAGGAAGGGGGAUCGAAAACGAUCAGAUACCGUUGUAGUCUCUUCUGUAAACUAUGCCAAUUGGGGAUUAGCUUAGGAUUUUUAAUGACUAAGUUAGCACCCGAAGAGAAAUCUUUAAAUGAGGUUCGGGGGGGAGUAUGGUCGCAAGGCUGAAACUUAAAGGAAUUGACGGAAGGGCACCACCAGGUGUGGAGCCUGCGGCUUAAUUUGACUCAACACGGGGAAACUCACCAGGUCCAGACACAAUAAGGAUUGACAGAUUGAUAGCUCUUUCUUGAUCUUGUGGUUGGUGGUGCAUGGCCGUUCUUAGUUGGUGGAGUGAUUUGUCUGGUUAAUUCCGAUAACGAACGAGACCUUAACCUGCUAAAUAGACCAGCCGGCUUUGGCUGGCUGCUGUCUUCUUAGAGGGACUAUCAGCGUUUAGCUGAUGGAAGUUUGAGGCAAUAACAGGUCUGUGAUGCCCUUAGAUGUUCUGGGCCGCACGCGCGCUACACUGACAGAGCCAGCGAGUCUACCACCUUGGCCGGAAGGCCUGGGUAAUCUUGUGAAACUCUGUCGUGAUGGGGAUAGAACAUUGCAAUUA
Molecule: ribosomal RNA, 947 nt
Filed under: uncultured eukaryote
Lineage: Eukaryota
Description: SSU rRNA
Rfam family: Eukaryotic small subunit ribosomal RNA
Source: RNAcentral